CGGAUUGCAGGCUGNAACCCGCCUGUAUGAAGUUGGAAUCGCUAGUAAUCGCGGAUCAGCAUGCCGCGGUGAAUACGUUCCCGGGCCUUGUACACACCGCCCGUCACACCAUGAGAGUCGGGAACACCCGAAGUCCGUAGCCUAACCGCAAGGAGGGCGCGGCCGAAGGUGGGUUCGAUAAUUGGGGUGAAGUCGUAACAAGGUACC
This 207-nucleotide ribosomal RNA is filed under the name uncultured bacterium. RNAcentral's name for it is "partial 16S ribosomal RNA". It matches the Rfam family "Bacterial small subunit ribosomal RNA", at positions 1294 to 1500 of the family's 1533-position model. The record is from RNAcentral.